AAAUCAUACCACAAUGGCAAAGCUCAGCAGGCAAAGACCACCCGUAAGGACUGACGGUCCUUGACUGAUGGUCACUGGCCUCAGACUUCUAGAUCAUCACAGGCCUAGCUAGGAAAGAAGGAGCAACACCUCUCCCCUAAGGGAAAAGGCUGCUUCUACCUCUCCCUAACAGGAAAUUAACGUUGGAAUUGAACAAAUUAGCAAUAGGACCGUUACACUCAUGUUGUAUAUAACAGAAUGCAUAUUCAUCUUGUAACUCAGAAUACAGAAACAAUACAAUUACACAUCAUUGAUCAAUAAACAUCUCAAGCCUUCAUAUUCAAAUCUUUUCUCAUGGUAUCAGAGCAGGAUUAAUCCUGUCAUCAUCUACCCAGUAAGAUCAGAAAAACUUCAUCAUGUCUCACAGUGACCUCACAAAACUCAUAAACAUUGAGUUAAGAGGCAAUCAGAACUACUUCGAAUGGUCAAGGGCUGUGUACAUCGGCCUUAGUGGCCGGAAGAAGCUAGGGUUCAUAACAGGAACCCUAAGCAGGCCAGAAGUAAAGAAUCCAAACCAACCAACGAAGGAAGAACUGGAGGCCAUCGAAGAUUGGCAGGCCACUAACCAUUUGGUCAUGUCCUUGCUAACAAACACGAUGGAGCCUCAGAUUGCCAGAUUGUGUAUGCUUCUAGCAUCAUCACAGGCAGUAUGGGCAAAAAUGAAAAAUCUAUACGGCCAAGAACAAAAUUUCGCACACAUUUUUAAUCUGAAACAAGAACUAGCCCAUAUCAAAUAAGGGACCAAGUCCAGCUCUGUCUACGCAACUGAGGUAUUGACUCGGUGGGAGGAACUCCAAAGUUACCUCCCACCUACUGCCGACCCCGAAGAAGCGAGGAAGAGGGCAGAUCAAGACUUAGUUUAUACGUACCUGGGUGGUCUCGACUCCACCUAUGAAGCUCUUCGGUCCCAGAUUUUGCUGUCUCACAACCUCCCUUGGCUCGACACUGUCAUCGCCCUCAUACCACUGCAAAAAGCAGGGUCACACGUCCGAACGAUGUUGGCAUCUCCAUCCUCACCUCAGGCCGAAUCACAGUAGAGGCGAGCGAGGGAGACAAGGCAACAAGCGGGAUAGAGAAGAGAGGAAGGGAGAAAGGUUUGGCGGCAUAGGAGUAAACAUGUUGAAACCUAAAAAUUUCGACAUGUUUACUGGAUCAGAUGUAGCUAGCGAGUCGGACCUUCCAACCCGACCCGACACAGCUGCAUUCGAACGACCCGGCUGCAGCAAUCUGGACCAGCCCAGCCAGAGGUCAUGGGCUCACCCGGCCUCAUGGCCAAACAACAGCUUCUGGGCCAACCCAGCCCACACCAGCAACAGCAGCUCCUGGGCCAACCCGGAUCCAACCCGGCCCAGCCCACCAACCCGCCCAGAAAUUAAUCAAACCGAAAAUUCCUAAAUAAUUUCUCAGCUCCAGUCUCUUCUACAGCCUCAGAAUUCCAGGGGGUCAGGUUUGGUACGCAACACGCUACAAAUAAAUACUCUACUUGGAUUAUUGAUUCCGGUGCAACAGAUCACAUGACCUGGGAUCCGACCAAAUUACAUAAUUUUGUCCCGACAAAUUCCUAACAUGUGAUCGUUGCUAAUGGAAAUCGAGCUGAAUCUCUAGUUUUGGCUCAUCUAAAUUGUUUAAUAAACCAGUACCAAAUAUUCUUCUUCUGCCUACUUUUAAAUCUAAUUUAUUAUCUGUUUGUCAAAUCACCAAAACUUUAAAUUGUAAUGUUAUUUUCUCACCAUCUACUGUAAUCUUUCAGGACCGACUCACCGGGAAGACGAUUGGUGAAGGAUACCUUCAAAAUGGCCUAUACUAUCUCACCACUCCUAGUCAGUGUCUCACCACCACCAAUUCCUUUAACCAAGGCUUAUUGAUGCAUAGGCGGUUUGGGCAUCCGUCCGAUAAAAUUUUGAAACAAAUUUUCCAACUUCAAAUAGAUUCAAGCUGUUGUGAUGUUUGCAAAUUUUCAAAGCAUACUAGAUUACCUUUUCCAUCAUCGUCUACCAAAUCAGAAAAAUUAUUUGAUUUAAUCCACUCUGAUGUUUGGGGACCUGCUCCCAUUACCUCCCAUAAUCAUUUCUGCUAUUUUGUCACUUUUAUUGACAAUUACUCACUUUUUUACCUUGGGUUUAUUUUGUUAAAUUAUUUGAUUUAACUUGGGUUUAUUUACUAAAAGGCAAAAAUGAGGUUUUUACAUGUUUUCUCAACUUUUUUACCUUUAUUAAAAAUCAGUACAACGCCAAAACUAAAAUUUUUCGCUCAGAUAAUGGCACUGAAUAUGUCAAUAAGAACUUUUCUGAAUUUUUUUCUCAAAACGGUAUUUUGUACCAAACUACUUGCAUUUAUACCCCUGAACAAAAUGGGGUUUCAGAAAGGAAAAAUAGACAUCUUCUUGAAGUUACUCGUACUCUCCUUUUUCAAAACAAUAUUCCUCACAUAUUUUGGUCGGAUGCCCUCCUUACCGCCGCUUAUCUCAUCAACCGGCUCCCCAGCUCUGUUCUUAACAAUCUCAGCCCUUUGGAGCUUCUCAAACAAAGAAAAAUUGACCUCGGUCAUAUUCGAAUAUUUGGUUGCACUGCCUUUGUUCACAUCAAACGUCAUCAUAAGUUGGACAAAAGUUGUGUCAAAACCAUCUUCCUAGGAUAUUCCUCAGAAAAGAAAGGCUACAAAUGUUAUGAUCCUACCACUUACAGAUCCUACAUUUCCCGAGAUGUGACCUUUCACGAAACCACCCCUUACUUUCCUUGUGAUCCUAUUCCUCCCACAGUUCUCUCAGCAGAUCUAUUUCCCUCUAACUCUUCCUUUUUUGACAGCAUUCUUCAGGAUACUUCUUCCGCUCAGGAGCACCCUUGUGUGCCCAUCGCUGGCCCUAGCCCUAACCCUUCAGGGGGAAUACCUUCCAUUCCUGUGGCAAUUUUUUCAGGGGGAGAUCUUGAGUUACCAACAGAAGAACUUGCCCUACGGAAUGAGUCACCAAUAGAAGAACUCGCCCUGCGAAGAUCUACUAGACCAACUAGACCUCCUGCUCGGCUAAAGGACUAUGUGUCCAAUUCAGUAUCGUACCCUAUUCAUCACUUUAUUAGUUAUAACUCUGUAUCAUCCUUAUACAGGACCUAUUUAAAUACUCUCACAUCACACACUGAGCCUACCUCUUUCUAUGAUGCCAACACCAAUCCUAAUUGGUGUAAGGCUAUGAAAGAAGAGCUCCAGGCCCUUGAAGAAAAUGAAACUUGGGAUCUUGUUACCCUACCAUUAAAUAAAAAACUAGUUGGUUGUAAAUGGGUAAAUAAGAUCAAAUACAAGCAUGAUAGUACCAUUGAAAGGUACAAAGCCAGGCUAGUAGCAAAGGGUUUUACCCAAACUUAUGGUGUAGAUUACCAAGAGACCUUUGCCCCAGUAGCUAAAAUGAGCACAAUCCGUAUUUUAUUGUCUGUUGCUACUAACUCAGGGUGAAGCUUAUUUCAGAUGGAUGUCAAGAAUGCAUUUCUUCAAGGGUCCCUAGCCGAAGAGGUAUACAUGAAACUUCCACCAGGCCAUACAUUAGCCUCUGAGCCUUCCCUGGUAUGUAAAUUAAAAAAGGCAAUCUACGGGCUGAAACAAUCACCGAGAGCAUGGCAUGCCAAGCUUAGUCAGUUUCUCUUAAAAAUUAAUUUCAGCAAGUGUACCUCUGACUCUUCUAUGUUUGUUAAACACACGCACACUCACACCAUAAUUAUUUUAGUAUAUGUGGAUGAUAUUAUUAUUACAGGAAAUAGUAAUAAGGAGAUUGAGGAAGUAAAACAAGCUCUAAAGAAAGAAUUUGAUAUCAAGGAUCUUGGUCAACUAACUUACUUUCUCGGAAUAGAAAUAGCCAAAUCUCAUAAAGGACUAUUCCUAUCUCAAAGAAAGUAUGUCCUAGAUCUUCUGCAAGAAACAUGAAAAAUAGGAGCCAAGCCUGUAGAUACUCCAAUGGAAACGAAAAACCGUCUCAAUCUAGAGGAUGGCGACCCUUUAAGUGACAUAGGACACUACCAGCAGUUGGUAGGAAAAUUGAUCUAUCUAACCGUCACCAGGCCUGAUAUUAGCUAUGCCGUAAGCAUGAUUAGCCAAUUUAUGCAUGCUCCCGUACUGCCCACCUGGAUGCGGUCGACAGAAUCCUAAGAUAUCUCAAGGGUACUCCAGGCCAAGGUAUUUUGAUGAAGAAUAAUAAUAAUGCUAACAUCGUUGCUGGUUUCUCCGAUGCAGAUUGGGCAGACAGUUGCAACAGAAAAUCAACCUCUGGGUUCUGUGUCUUUGUAGGAGGAAAUCUGGUAACGUGGAAAAGCAAAAAGCAAUCAGUAACAGCAAGAUCUAGUGCUGAAGCUGAGUACCGAGCCAUGGCAUCGACAGCUAGCGAGCUUGUUUGGAUUAAGCAAGUGCUCACUGACAUGGGAGUAAAGUGCAAGGAUCCAAUGGAGAUGUACUGUGACAACCAAGCAGCCAGACACAUAGCAUCAAACCUAGUCUUUCACGAAAGGACUAAACAUAUUGAAGUUGACUACCAUUUCAUAAGAAAAAAAGUCCAAUCAGGAGAAAUCACAACCCCGUUUGUCAGAAGCCACGAACAACUGGCAGACAUCUUCACCAAGGCCCUAGACAAAGCAAGCCACCAAAGACUUCUAAGCAAGAUGGGUUUUAUCAAUUUAUUCGCACCCACCUUGAGGGGGAAUGUUGAAGAACUAAAUCAUACCACAAUGGCAAAGCUUAGCAGGCAAAGACCACCCAUAAGGACUGACGGUCCUUGACUGAUGGUCACUGGCCUCAGACUUCUAAAUCAUCACAGGCCUAGCUAGGAAAGAAAGAGCAACACCUCUCCCCUAAGGGAAAAGGCUGCUUCUACCUCUCCCUAACAGGAAAUUAACGUUGGAAUUGAACAAAUUAGCAAUAGGA
This 4938-nucleotide long non-coding RNA is filed under the name Ricinus communis (castor bean). RNAcentral's name for it is "long non-coding RNA (RCOM_LNC002824)". The record is from RNAcentral. Lineage: Eukaryota; Viridiplantae; Streptophyta; Magnoliopsida; Malpighiales; Euphorbiaceae.